AUUGAACGCUGGCGGCGGGCCUAACACAUGCAAGUCGAGCGGAGCGGCGGACGGGUGCGUAAUGCCUAGGAAUCUGCCUGGUAGUGAGGGAUAAAUUCCGGGAACGGGCGCUAAUACCGCAUACUUUCAAAGGAGCCUAGGUCGGAUUAGCUAGUUGGUGGGGGAAAGGCUUACCAAGGCGACGAUCCGUAACUGGUCUGAGAGGAUGAUCAGUCACACUGGAACUGAGACACGGUCCAGACUCCUACGUGAGGCAGCAGUGGGGAAUAUUGGACAAUGGGCGAAAGCCUGAUCCAGCCAUGCCGCGUGUGUGAAGAAGGUUUUCGGAUUGUAAAGCACUGUAAGUUGGGAGGCGUUACCAACAGAAUAAGCACCGGCUAACUUCGUGCCAGCAGCCGCGGUAAUUC
RNAcentral lists this ribosomal RNA (407 nucleotides) under uncultured bacterium. RNAcentral describes it as "partial 16S ribosomal RNA". It matches the Rfam family "Bacterial small subunit ribosomal RNA", at positions 30 to 526 of the family's 1533-position model. The record is from RNAcentral.